This 254-nucleotide ribosomal RNA is filed under the name uncultured bacterium. RNAcentral describes it as "partial 16S ribosomal RNA". It matches the Rfam family "Bacterial small subunit ribosomal RNA", at positions 524 to 776 of the family's 1533-position model. The record is from RNAcentral.
UACGUAGGGCGCAAGCGUUGUCCGGAAUUAUUGGGCGUAAAGAGCUCGUAGGCGGUGUGUCGCGUCGGCCGUGAAAACCUGCAGCUUAACUGUGGGCUUGCGGUCGAUACGGGCAUCACUGGAGUUCGGCAGGGGAGACUGGAAUUCCUGGUGUAGCGGUGAAAUGCGCAGAUAUCAGGAAGAACACCCGUGGCGAAAGCGGCUCUCUGGAACGGUACUGACGCUGAGACGCGAAAGCGUGGGGAGCGAACAGG